RNAcentral lists this unclassified non-coding RNA (528 nucleotides) under Hevea brasiliensis (rubber tree). The record is from RNAcentral. Lineage: Eukaryota; Viridiplantae; Streptophyta; Magnoliopsida; Malpighiales; Euphorbiaceae.
GCUCCCUCGGCAGCCGUGAAUUAGUUACUAGGAUAAACUGAUGACUGAACCUGCUGCUCUGUUCCCUGUGUGCCACCAUCAUUCUGAGGAGAAACUUGAUUCAUCCAUGGUUAUGGACAUUUUGGAUUCCAUGACACCAUCUGUUACCUUAUCUUCAACCUUGACGGCUCCGCUUUCUUCCUUCCCUUCUGCUGCAUUUAUACACUCAUGAAAUCUGAAGCAACUGGUGAGAUGAUCGUUUGUUAACCCUGCCACCUGCAUGAAUGAGUGGACGACUGCCCCACGCUGCGGAAUCCUCUUCUCACUAGAUCUUUGCUCAUUACGUCUGCUUUUGGAGUUUUGACAGGAAUCUGACGAGGAUACCGGAAUCUGCUAACUAUAGGCUUGUAGUUUACAAAGCUCCAAAUAUACUUAUCAAAUGACCCAAACUCAUCUAUCACCUUCAAUAUUUGGCGAGCAUUCUCAAUGAUUGCACGCAAUUUAACUUCUGAUAAUAAGGAGUUAGCUGUGCUUCCAGGUGCUAUUAUC